This 253-nucleotide ribosomal RNA is filed under the name uncultured bacterium. RNAcentral's name for it is "partial 16S ribosomal RNA". It matches the Rfam family "Bacterial small subunit ribosomal RNA", at positions 524 to 776 of the family's 1533-position model. The record is from RNAcentral.
UACGUAGGGGGCAAGCGUUGUCCGGAAUCAUUGGGCGUAAAGAGCGUGUAGGCGGCCAGGAAAGUCUGGUGUGAAAUCUUGGGGCUCAACCCCAAGCGGUCACUGGAUACUUUCUGGCUUGAGUCCGGAAGAGGAGAGUGGAAUUCCUGGUGUAGCGGUGGAAUGCGCAGAUAUCAGGAGGAACACCAACGGCGAAGGCAGCUCUCUGGUACGUGACUGACGCUGAGACGCGAAAGCGUGGGUAGCAAACAGG